This 865-nucleotide ribosomal RNA is filed under the name Limosilactobacillus fermentum. Its description in RNAcentral is "bacterial SSU rRNA". It matches the Rfam family "Bacterial small subunit ribosomal RNA", at positions 161 to 1010 of the family's 1533-position model. Lineage: Bacteria; Bacillati; Bacillota; Bacilli; Lactobacillales; Lactobacillaceae. The record is from RNAcentral.
UGCUAAUACCGCAUAACAACGUUGUUCGCAUGAACAACGCUUAAAAGAUGGCUUCUCGCUAUCACUUCUGGAUGGACCUGCGGUGCAUUAGCUUGUUGGUGGGGUAACGGCCUACCAAGGCGAUGAUGCAUAGCCGAGUUGAGAGACUGAUCGGCCACAAUGGGACUGAGACACGGCCCAUACUCCUACGGGAGGCAGCAGUAGGGAAUCUUCCACAAUGGGCGCAAGCCUGAUGGAGCAACACCGCGUGAGUGAAGAAGGGUUUCGGCUCGUAAAGCUCUGUUGUUAAAGAAGAACACGUAUGAGAGUAACUGUUCAUACGUUGACGGUAUUUAACCAGAAAGUCACGGCUAACUACGUGCCAGCAGCCGCGGUAAUACGUAGGUGGCAAGCGUUAUCCGGAUUUAUUGGGCGUAAAGAGAGUGCAGGCGGUUUUCUAAGUCUGAUGUGAAAGCCUUCGGCUUAACCGGAGAAGUGCAUCGGAAACUGGAUAACUUGAGUGCAGAAGAGGGUAGUGGAACUCCAUGUGUAGCGGUGGAAUGCGUAGAUAUAUGGAAGAACACCAGUGGCGAAGGCGGCUACCUGGUCUGCAACUGACGCUGAGACUCGAAAGCAUGGGUAGCGAACAGGAUUAGAUACCCUGGUAGUCCAUGCCGUAAACGAUGAGUGCUAGGUGUUGGAGGGUUUCCGCCCUUCAGUGCCGGAGCUAACGCAUUAAGCACUCCGCCUGGGGAGUACGACCGCAAGGUUGAAACUCAAAGGAAUUGACGGGGGCCCGCACAAGCGGUGGAGCAUGUGGUUUAAUUCGAAGCUACGCGAAGAACCUUACCAGGUCUUGACAUCUUGCGCCAACCCUAGAGAUAGG